UUGUUGCGGUUAAAAGCUCGUCGUUGGAUUUCUGUUGAGCACGGCCGCCCUAUGGGUGCGCAACUGGCUCGGCUUCGGCAUCUUCUUGGAGAGCGCAUCUGCACUUAACUGUGUGGAUCGUACUUCAAGUCAGUUACUUUGAGGAAUUGUGAGUGUUUCAAGCAGGCUUACGCCGUUGAAUCCGUUAGCAUGGAAUAAUAGAAUAGGACCUCGGUUCUAUUUUGUUGGUUUUGAGAGCUGGGGCAGCGAUUGAUAGGGACGGAUGGGGGCGUCCGAACUUUACUGUCAGAGGUGAAAUUCUUAGAUCGGUCAAAGGCGAACUACUGCGAACGCAUUCGCCAAGAAUGUUUUCUUUAAUCAAGAACGAAAGUUAGGGGAUCGAAGACGAUCAGAUACCGUCCUAGUCUUAACCAUAAACGUUACUGACUAGAGAUUGGAGGUUGUGAUUCACAAACUCCAUCAGCACCUCUAUGUGUAAACAAAGUCUUUGAGUUCUGGGGGGAGUAUGGUCGCAAGACUGAAACUUAAAGGAAUUGACGGAAGGGCACCACCAGGAGUGGAACCUGCGGCUUAAUUUGACUCAACACGGGGAAACUUACCAGAUCAAGACAUAGUAAGGAUUGACAGAUUGAGAGUUCUCUCUCGAUUCUAUGGGUGGUGGUGCAUGGCCGUUCUUAGUUGGUGGAGUGAUUUGUCUGGUUAAUUUCGUUAACGAACGAGACCUUAACUUGUUGAAUAGUGAAUCGUAACCUCGGUUACGUUGGAAUCUUCUUAGAGGGACUUUGUGUGAUCAACGCAAGGAAGUUUGAGGCGAUAACAGGUCUGUGAUGCCCUUAGAUGUUCUGGGAUGCACGCGCGUUACACUGAUUCGUUCAACGAGUUUAUGACCUUGCCUGAUGAGGUGGGGGGAAUCUUUUCAAAU
This 922-nucleotide ribosomal RNA is filed under the name uncultured marine eukaryote. Its description in RNAcentral is "SSU rRNA". It matches the Rfam family "Eukaryotic small subunit ribosomal RNA", at positions 610 to 1560 of the family's 1831-position model. The record is from RNAcentral.